Molecule: unclassified non-coding RNA, 1974 nt
Filed under: Leishmania donovani
Lineage: Eukaryota; Euglenozoa; Kinetoplastea; Trypanosomatida; Trypanosomatidae
Description: gene:LdHU3.23.2570(CDS-product:hypothetical_prote in_conserved)
Source: RNAcentral
CCGUCAUUGCGCCCUCUGUCCACCACCGCCGCGUGGGCAUCGCUCCGACUCCGAGUGCCCCUACCCUCAGCAGGACGGCGACGCUCGCAUAUCUUUUUUCGUGCGAGCUUUUUGACUUGUGAACCGCCAUUGCCGCCCCCGUCGCGCUUCAUCCGGGCUGAGCGGCGAUGUGGGCACUGACAUGCCGGCCAAUUCAGAACGCGGAGGCGCUGCAGCUGAUGGAGCGUUACAAGGCGCACAAUGCGCUGCAGAGCAACCAGUGGCUUCUGCCGCGACACCUGGCCUGCUUCGCCGUCCGACCUCUCUAUCCAGCACAGCUGGUGCUGCCGACCAGCAGCGUCAUUCAACUUCCGCUCAGCGCCGUUCCCUUCAGCUCGCUGCCGCUCUCGAGAAAGCGCAAGGUCCUCGGCAUGUGCCCGCCGCCCUGCACGCCGCCGGGCUCGUGCUCCUUACUUGAGUGCAGCGGAGCUGCCAUGCGAUGGCGCCCGGCCUCCCUAUCGGAAUGCUUUGAUGCGGCAUUUGUGUGCAGUGACUCCCCAUCGUCUCAUCAGCACUUGCUGUGCGCCACCGACUGCGCUGGCAGCGUGACGGUUGCGGAGGAGGUGACGGUGUUCAACGCUCAAGAGACGAACAAUCCGUUUCUCGUCGACGCUGAACUUGCGCACCGCAACCUCCUCACCAAGGAGACGUACCAGCACUCCAUUGGCAGCUCGCUGACCACUAUCGCCGCGCAGUUCCGCUACACAUCGUUUGACUGGGUCGAGGCGACGGCGGCGGCCGCUGCAGGUCUGCGCGUGCGCUCCAGCGCAGCGCCUCAUCUCGUCAACUGCGUCGACACGCUGAGAGUGGUGCACAUCUCGCAGCUGCGCUACACACGCCAACAGGAGCUGGUCGCCAAGAUCCCGCGCAUGACCCUCAUCAAAAGCAUGACCAUAUCGUAUAUCUUCUACCACAAACGCUGGCGCCAUCACAAAUCAAUGGAGCUGAUGCGUCCGCUCCUCCACCGCAACGUUCCAUGCUGCGGCACCCCACAAGCACAAGCCUUGCAGCCGCUGCUUUGGAUUGCGGUGGAUCUACACAUGGAGUUCCGCGGUCCUGUGACGGAGUGUGCACGCCACUCACGCAAACAGUUCUACAACUCGCAACAGCUGGAAGCGGACACGUGCGCUGUGCCCAGUCGUUCAUAGAAGCGCAGGGGACCGAAAAGAGGAGGACGAUUCAGACACUCUGGUGAGAUAGCGGAAGCGAUCUUCCUCUAUCAGUGCAUAUCACCUCUUGUACACGGAGCAUCAUCUAGCGUAUCUUUUGCCUUGCCAAAAUUUUUUUAUUUCCUCUGUCGACGGCUCACACCUCUGGACGCUUGCUGCGCUGUCGACACACUGACCAGUACUUGCACGCCCUAUCGCCAGUGCUCUCCGCACCUACGCUUAGCACGCUUCUUUCUCUCUCUUCCACGGCCUGCUUGCUGGCACUCUGCCAUUGUUGUCCACGACUGGCACCUUAUCAUCUUUUCUUUUGUGUAUGCCCUCUGCUACUUGCAUCAUCUGCUCUCUCCAUCUCUCAAGGUGUUCAACUGCCGAGCGCGAUGGCGUCCUCGCACUUUGGGUGGCGACCGUGCAUCCACCAAAGACGUGCACUGGAGCAUCCCCACAGCACGCAAGCCCGCAGAUUGGAGACAGUGCCUGCGAGGGGGCGACGAGGGCACGACAGCACUAGUGAGCCUGUACCCGCUCACGGAGCGUGCUGCUCGGAGUUGGCCACCAAGCGAAGGUGCACGCCACUUGGCUGACUUUGUUUCACUGCUCGUGGGUGCCCACUGCCUCUUCUCCGCUGCGCCCUGCCCCUCCGGCCCCUCAGCUGCUCUCUGCGUCCGCCUUGCUCACCCGCCUCCUCGUUGUUCCCGUGCACCAUGCCUUCUCUCACGCUCGCCUACUUCCCUUGCGCUUCUCCCUUUCCCCAUAAACAAACCACAAG